Molecule: ribosomal RNA, 220 nt
Filed under: uncultured bacterium
Lineage: Bacteria
Description: partial 16S ribosomal RNA
Rfam family: Bacterial small subunit ribosomal RNA
Source: RNAcentral
AACAUGGGUGACCUGGCCCCAAGUGAGGGAUACCGGCGAGAAAUUGCCGACAAGCCCGCAUGGGUUCGCUCUGGUAGAGCGGAGCGAGCAAAGUCGCAAGACGCUUUGGGAUGGGCCUGUGGCCGAUUAGCUAGUUGGGGGGGUAAGAGCCUCCCAAGGCGACGAUCGGUAGCUGGUCUGAGAGGACGAUCAGCCACACUGGGACUGAGACACGGCCCAG